GCUUGCUACUCUGUGUGUGUGCGGACCAGCCCCCAGGCUUAUGAUUUGACUUCAUUACAGUGUUUCAAUCUGCCUAAUAAACCAGAAUAUUAAGGAUCCCGAGUUGGACAUUUGUAGCCAACACUGGAAUGCUGGAAGAGGGCCACAUGCUGAAAAGGCCUUU
Gavialis gangeticus (Gharial) is the source of this 163-nucleotide long non-coding RNA. RefSeq lists it as uncharacterized. The record is from RefSeq and is a predicted model, not a curated record. NCBI's taxonomy places the organism in Eukaryota, Metazoa, Chordata, Crocodylia, Gavialidae. The transcript is spliced from 4 exons.